Molecule: non-coding RNA, 122 nt
Filed under: Comamonas aquatica DA1877
Lineage: Bacteria; Pseudomonadati; Pseudomonadota; Betaproteobacteria; Burkholderiales; Comamonadaceae
Description: Burkholderia RNA 11
Rfam family: Burkholderia RNA 11
About the family: Co-purified with Hfq, expression confirmed by Northern blot. Predicted target marZ.
Source: Rfam by way of RNAcentral
CCAACCUGCGGCUGGCGCGCACCGAUGGCCUGGUGUUCCGGGCCGUGCUGGGCAUCAGCUGGAUGUGGUUCUUCGGGGCCGUGUUCCUGGCGGAAUUCCCGGUGCUGGCCAAGGAGGUGCUG